This 468-nucleotide ribosomal RNA is filed under the name uncultured bacterium. Its description in RNAcentral is "partial 16S ribosomal RNA". It matches the Rfam family "Bacterial small subunit ribosomal RNA", at positions 28 to 507 of the family's 1533-position model. The record is from RNAcentral.
GACGAACGCUGGCGGCGUGCUUAACACAUGCAAGUCGAACGGAGAGGCCCUGCUUUUGUGGGGUGCUCGAGUGGCGAACGGGUGAGUAACACGUGAGUAACCUGCCCUUGACUUUGGGAUAACUUCAGGAACCUGGGGCUAAUACCGGAUAGGCGCUCCUGCUGCAUGGUGGGGGUUGGAAAGUUUCGGCGGUUGGGGAUGGACUCGCGGCUUAUCAGCUUGUUGGUGGGGUAGUGGCUUACCAAGGCUUUGACGGGUAGCCGGCCUGAGAGGGUGACCGGCCACAUUGGGACUGGGAUACGGCCCAGACUCCUACGGGAGGCAGCAGUGGGGAAUAUUGCACAAUGGGCGGAAGCCUGAUGCAGCAACGCCGCGUGCGGGAUGACGGCCUUCGGGGUGUAAACCGCUUUCGCCUGUGACGAAGCGUGAGUGACGGUAAUGGGUAAAGAAGCACCGGCUAACUACGUG